CCUUACGUAAAGAUUCUCUUGAUGAGUGCCCACACAGAUUGAUUAGGUUUAGAAAGAUAAGAGUAUCUUAGUGUCCCGUUCGUCUAGAGGCCUAGGACACCGCCCUUUCACGGCGGUAACAGGGGUUCGACUCCCCUACGGGAUACCAUCUUUAAGCAUUCUUACGAGUGUGUUUAAAAAUGGUUUUCGUAAACUCUUUGUUUAUAAAAACUCUUGCUCUUUAACAAUUUGGAAAGCUGACAAAUAACGAUUUGAUUAAUCGUUAUUUAUUAAAAGUUCUCAAAUCCUAUGUCUCUUAGAGAUGUAGGUACCAAUACACAUUCAAGUGUUCUUGGGAAUAACAUCAUUGAUGUUGUUCAUAUUUGAGUCCGGCAAAAUCGAAAUGUCUCUCGCUCAUUCAAAUAAUGAGAGACAACUAAACCUUGGUUGUUUGCCAUACAUAAGACCUCUUGGGGUUGUAU
RNAcentral lists this transfer RNA (461 nucleotides) under Vibrio diazotrophicus. RNAcentral describes it as "partial 16S-23S ribosomal RNA intergenic spacer". The stretch from base 73 to 145 matches the Rfam family "tRNA". Lineage: Bacteria; Pseudomonadati; Pseudomonadota; Gammaproteobacteria; Vibrionales; Vibrionaceae. The record is from RNAcentral.